Molecule: long non-coding RNA, 336 nt
Filed under: Neodiprion lecontei (redheaded pine sawfly)
Lineage: Eukaryota; Metazoa; Arthropoda; Insecta; Hymenoptera; Diprionidae
Description: uncharacterized LOC124293293
Source: RNAcentral
CACAGAGCUUCAAUUAUGCCGAGAGCAUGGACAGAAAGCGCGUGACGAGACAGAAUAGGCGCAGCUCAUUGGAGACGAAGGAAGGUCGUAUAGCUCGUCAAGCGGAGCUGCAAGCUAAAAAUGACGCAUAUGAGCAAGAAGAGGGAUUGCUAUAUGGUGCUGGAAUAGCUGAUUAAUCGAUAAAAAUUGCGACGUCAGGGGCGUACGCAAUCCAGGUGCUCGGAUGGCAAUCGCCCAUGGACUGCACGCGGUAACUCUACUAUUUCCGGCGAAAAUCGUUUGAAAAAAUUUCAAAGUGUACUUGAAAACAUAAAUAAAAUAUCCUCCAAGUUUAAA